CCCUCAUUGAUUCAUGCUUGAGCUUUAACAACACAACUAAAAUAUCCCUUGGCACACCUGGAAUUCAUCCAGUAUCUGAGAGGCUUAGAAAACAAACAGGUAUCUUUUGGUCCUGGUGCUCUCAAACUGCAUUACCCAAUGCUAUAACCACUAGCCAUAUAUGGCUGUUUAAAUUUUAAUUCAUUAAAAUUAAAUUAUCUGUGUGCAGUGGUGCACGCCUGUAGUUCCAGCACUCAGGAGGCUGAGAUGUGAGGGUCACUGGAGCCCAGGAGUUCAAGAUCCCCCUGAAUAACACAGUGAGACUCUUUUUCUAGAAAGAAAGAAAGAAAGAAAGAAAGAAAGAAAGAAAGAAAGAAAGAAAGAAAGAAAGAAAGAAAGAAAGAAAGAAAGAAAGAAAGAAAGAAAGAAAGAAAGAAAGAAAGAAAGAAAGGGAAAAAUGGGAAGGAAGGAAGGAAGGAAGGAGAAAUUAGAGGUUCUAUUCUUCAUUUGCACAAGCCACAUUUCAGAUGCUUGAUAGUGGGAUGUAGUCAGUGGCUACAACAUUGUACCACACAAAUAUAGGACUUUUCUAUAAUUACAGAAAAUUGUCCAAAGUAUUGGAUAAUACUGCUCCAGGAACUUAUCAACAGUUAGGUCUUUUUUUUGAGAAAUACAUAUUUAAUGUUAUUUAUGGCAACUGAUGUUAUAUUAGCUACAGGGUUUUGUAUCUAUUUAAUAGUUAUCAUGCAUAAGGAUUUUCCUCAUCAUUUAUUCAUUCAGUGAAACACUUAGUUCCUAAUAUGUGCUUUAAAAAGUUCUAACAAGUGUGUAUGCAAUAAAAAAUGACAGCUCCUAUAUAGCUACUUGGUCAUCGGCACCAUGAUAUGGAAAAAAAAAAACAAAACAAAACGGUUUAAGCAGCAUAAAGAGACCAAAA
This 916-nucleotide long non-coding RNA is filed under the name Marmota monax (woodchuck). Lineage: Eukaryota; Metazoa; Chordata; Mammalia; Rodentia; Sciuridae. The record is from RNAcentral.